UUUUUGAUUUUUUUUGGUAUUGGUA
This 25-nucleotide small RNA is filed under the name Arabidopsis thaliana (thale cress). RNAcentral describes it as "ATSL149620". Lineage: Eukaryota; Viridiplantae; Streptophyta; Magnoliopsida; Brassicales; Brassicaceae. The record is from RNAcentral.